Molecule: non-coding RNA, 3442 nt
Organism: Meleagris gallopavo (turkey)
Lineage: Eukaryota; Metazoa; Chordata; Aves; Galliformes; Phasianidae
Source: RefSeq, a predicted model, not a curated record
UUACUUGUCUUAAAACUAACCUGUGCCCUUUUGAGAACACCAUUGUGAUUUUGAUGUUACAUUUCUGGGUUUGUUGUUGUCACAGUAGAGUAUUUAUUAUUCAUAUUAGACCUCAAAUAGAAGUACUGAGGUUGAGUUAAUGGUCCUGUAGACUGCAACCUUAAUUGCUCAGAGGCACUGUUUGAGGAAGCAGUGUACCCUGAGGACACUACGUCCUUAAAAGGAUAGGAAAAUUGACUCCUUAGCACAGUAUGGUUUCUGUCCAAGAAAUGUAUUCAGGUCUUGCUUAAAUAAGAACACCAAACACUCCAUGUUUCUUGCUGUGCUGCUAUUCCUUGUUAUCGUAGAUGUGCCGAAUAGUUGUCAGAAAUUAGUACUUUGUGGUUAUUGGAGAUGGUGAUUUGAAGAAUAAGAUUUCCGAUAUGAACAAAGUAAAAGCAUCAUCUGAAAAAAGGUGAGUUUAGUGACUUCUCAGCAUCAAGACAUUUGAGGUUUGUAAAGAAGCAGUCUUCAUGUUAAAUAAAAUAUUGUUUAUCCCUUAUGAGAGUGAGUUGAUGUUCUCCUCCUCCUCUACUCUGCCCUGGGGGGAUCACACCCGGAGCACUGUGUCCAGAUGUUCCUUCUGAGGAAGUUUACAUUGGUUAGCAUAAAGUAACUUCACUUUUAAUGGAUAAUUUUUCACACUUAAAAUGCACUCCAGCAGUUAUUCUCAAAUAUAUCCAUAUGUAUGUUAAUAUGCAUUCUAUUUGAAAGAAGUAUCAAUGAAUUUCAUAAUUUCAUGCAGGUGCUGGUGAAACAUUAAAAAGCAUUUUUACUGAAGGAAUUAAAGGACAACUUUAUAACAUUGCACAGGAAGUUACAAAAUGUUGUUAUAUAACAAUUCUACAGUCCAACAGAACAAACAAAUGAAAUUACAGAAGAGUUCGUUACUUUUGUGAUAGCUCAUCUUAACAUUUUAAAAAGCUAUGUGAUUAACUGUGGAAGGCCAUGUCACAGUUAGACAACAUCAGGAAACUGUUGAAGGACUUUCAGUUUUGUUCUUUUUGUUCUUUUCUUGAGCGAGCACAGGUUGAACCAUUUUGUUUCAGCAAACCAUCUGAUCUGGUGUUUUAGAAAAAUUGUCAGUGCAGCAAAAUAGGCUAUUUUGGCUUCAAUCAUAGUCCUCUGAAAUUCUAGUUCUUUUCUAAAUGAGUGAACGAAUUUGUGAGAAGUACUUGCUGUACUUUGGAUAAAUCUUACAUCUUGGGGUGGAUUUAAAAUUUGUAAGAGUGUUAUAUAGCAAUUUAAGUGAAAACAUUUAGAUUAGUCUUAUGUUUUGUUUCUCGUAGUAGUGGAACAGCUUGAUGUUAAAGACUGAUUAUUCUUGUUUGUGCAAAAGUUGUAACCAAGAAAACAGUAAAGAAACUUAUGUUUUUUGUUUAGGAUGUACCAGUUUCUUAGACAUUAUAUGCAGAGUCAGUCUCUUAGCAGUGGAUAUUCUUGGAAACACUACUGACUGUAGUACAUAAAGUAUUUUAAAAAAAUUAUAUUUUGCAGAAUGGCCACUUAAGUUUUUUUAUUAUUAUUAUUUUUCUUUAGCUACUGUGUUAAAAUGAAAGUUUAAUUCGCUGUAACUGAAAAUAAUUUUUUCCUAAGUCAUAAACACACACAAAAGUGAUUGAUUGUUUCCAGAGAUAAGAGUGAACCAAUCCAGAAUAUCAUCUUUCUAAAGACAGUGGUAACUGGGGAUGGUUGAAAGGAAAGUUAGUUUUGGAAAUGGUUUGAUUAGAUUAAAAAAAAGAAGGGGGUUGUAGGGGUGAGGGGAGAGAAUUCUACCUACUUUAAAUCAACUUUUUGCAGGAACACUGGAUUUACUGCAGGUAACAUGCUGGAAUGCACAAGACUUUGCUGUAGAGAAAGAAAACAUUUCCUGAUAUGUAAAUGUAUUGGCUAACAGCAAACAGCAAUUUCAGAGAAAGUAAAUACUGUUGGGAAACUGACUUCUUCCAUUUGACUAUUAUUUUGAAGCACUUCUUAAAGAUAAAUAGCCUAAAACUAUUCUGAGAUAACUGAUGUUUGAUAACAGCUGUGACAGAUGUUAGUUAUCUUUCUCAUCUUGAGCAGACACUUAGGUUUUUGCACAUAGUUUGAUAAAAGCACUGCACAGUGGGUAAUGGCAAGUUAUGAAUCUAGUACUUUUUCAUAAUCACAGCAGGAAUGCUUAAACAUUAGGGAGGCUGGUGGGGCUGGAAUGAAUGUCACUGCAAUGAGAGGACUUACUUAGAAAAGGUGUUUUCUUGUUGAGGAAGUUCUUUUUCAAGUAUUGACCUCUGUAGUCUACUCUUUGUUGUAUGGGUAACUGCUUCCAGUGUAUAGACACUUGCAGUGCAUACAGUCAGAAAUGUCUGCUAAGCUUCAUUUCAAGAUGCUUAAAGAAAAGUUGCCUACAUCUGUCCCAGAACUUACUUGUUGGCUUAAAAGCUCAUGGGAUUUAGGCUAAGUGCAGAAGGAUGGAAAUAGCAAAUGUAGUUCUUGUGUCUGUGGAAGUGAGGGAGAGGAAACUAAGUAACUGUAGAUCAGUCACUUCUGGUCUUCGCACAGGUUUCUGGAAGAGUUAACAAAACAGGUGACACUUUCAACAGGCAAACGUGUUUUGAGAUGUUCUUGAGAAUUUAUCUUGUGUUUCACAUGGGGAAGAGUUCCUAUGAGCAGGACAGAGGCAUUAAAUAGUAUGUACAUAUUAUUGUAAUGAAGCUUUAGACAUCGCUGUGUAUGAUAAUGCCAUCAGGAAGAUAAGGCUGCUGCUCCAUUUAAGUAUCCUAGAAUAAAGCACUGACUGAAGUGGUAGCACUCAUUAUCACAAAAAAAAAAAAUGUGCAGAGUUUUUCUGGAUAUGCUAUUUUUUUUUCUACUUCUGGUCAUAACUGAAUGAAAAUACUAUGAGGUUCAGCUAAUGAACUGAAAGAGCAAUACUUCUUAAAAUUACGGACAACUUGUAUUUCAAAAGAUCUGCAAAACAUUGGAGGACCAAAUGAUUUCAAAGUACUUUUGUGAAAUGCAGAAAAUGGUUUUUCAUUAUUUGAUGGAAAUAUUUGUGCAAGAUAGUAUAUUUCAAGAGAAAUAUUAUUGGGACAGAUAAAGAACAGUAGGUAUUCAUAUUUGUAGUGAGGAAGGACAGAAAUAUUAAGGUUAAACUGCAGUUAUCAAAACUUUAAAGUUUGCAAAGUAUUACAUUACAGUUGUUUUUGUUAUUCUGUCUCUGUUUUUGCAGGCCGUUAAGUACAGGUUGAUCAUAUAUCUGUCAGGAGGACCAAACAUGGUCUUGAGAAUAGUAUCAGUGACCUCACAAAUCUUAUUCUGGUGUUCUGUAGCUAUGUCUUUAUAACUAGAAAUGGUGGAAGCUAUGUAAGCCUCAGUGACUAUGAAGUCGUCUUAGAAGAAAGUUUUACAAUGGGUGAGGUAA